RNAcentral lists this ribosomal RNA (2938 nucleotides) under Bacillus amyloliquefaciens. RNAcentral describes it as "23S ribosomal RNA". It matches the Rfam family "Bacterial large subunit ribosomal RNA". The record is from RNAcentral. Lineage: Bacteria; Bacillati; Bacillota; Bacilli; Caryophanales; Bacillaceae.
GGUUAAGUUAGAAAGGGCGCACGGUGGAUGCCUUGGCACUAGGAGCCGAUGAAGGACGGGACGAACACCGAUAUGCUUCGGGGAGCUGUAAGCAAGCUUUGAUCCGGAGAUUUCCGAAUGGGGAAACCCACCACUCGUAAUGGAGUGGUAUCCAUAUCUGAAUACAUAGGAUAUGAGAAGGCAGACCCGGGGAACUGAAACAUCUAAGUACCCGGAGGAAGAGAAAGCAAAUGCGAUUCCCUGAGUAGCGGCGAGCGAAACGGGAUCAGCCCAAACCAAGAGGCUUGCCUCUUGGGGUUGUAGGACACUCUGUACGGAGUUACAAAGGAACGAGGUAGAUGAAGAGGUCUGGAAAGGCCCGCCAUAGGAGGUAACAGCCCUGUAGUCAAAACUUCGUUCUCUCCUGAGUGGAUCCUGAGUACGGCGGAACACGUGAAAUUCCGUCGGAAUCCGGGAGGACCAUCUCCCAAGGCUAAAUACUCCCUAGUGACCGAUAGUGAACCAGUACCGUGAGGGAAAGGUGAAAAGCACCCCCGGAAGGGGAGUGAAAGAGAUCCUGAAACCGUGUGCCUACAAGUAGUCAGAGCCCGUUAACGGGUGAUGGCGUGCCUUUUGUAGAAUGAACCGGCGAGUUACGAUCCCGUGCAAGGUUAAGCAGAAGAUGCGGAGCCGCAGCGAAAGCGAGUCUGAAUAGGGCGAAUUGAGUACGUGGUCGUAGACCCGAAACCAGGUGAUCUACCCAUGUCCAGGGUGAAGUUCAGGUAACACUGAAUGGAGGCCCGAACCCACGCACGUUGAAAAGUGCGGGGAUGAGGUGUGGGUAGGGGGUGAAAUGCCAAUCGAACCUGGAGAUAGCUGGUUCUCUCCGAAAUAGCUUUAGGGCUAGCCUCAAGGUAAGAGUCUCGGAGGUAGAGCACUGAUUGGACUAGGGGCCCCUACCGGGUUACCGAAUUCAGUCAAACUCCGAAUGCCGAUGACUUAUCCUUGGGAGUCAGACUGCGAGUGAUAAGAUCCGUAGUCGAAAGGGAAACAGCCCAGACCGCCAGCUAAGGUCCCAAAGUAUACGUUAAGUGGAAAAGGAUGUGGAGUUGCUUAGACAACCAGGAUGUUGGCUUAGAAGCAGCCACCAUUUAAAGAGUGCGUAAUAGCUCACUGGUCGAGUGACUCUGCGCCGAAAAUGUACCGGGGCUAAACGUAUCACCGAAGCUGCGGACUGUUCUUCGAACAGUGGUAGGAGAGCGUUCUAAGGGCUGUGAAGCAAGACCGGAAGGACUUGUGGAGCGCUUAGAAGUGAGAAUGCCGGUAUGAGUAGCGAAAGAGGGGUGAGAAUCCCCUCCACCGAAUGCCUAAGGUUUCCUGAGGAAGGCUCGUCCGCUCAGGGUUAGUCGGGACCUAAGCCGAGGCCGAAAGGCGUAGGCGAUGGAUAACAGGUUGAUAUUCCUGUACCACCUCCUCACCAUUUGAGCAAUGGGGGGACGCAGGAGGAUAGGGUAAGCGCGGUAUUGGAUAUCCGCGUCCAAGCAGUUAGGCUGGGAAAUAGGCAAAUCCGUUUCCCGUGAAGGCUGAGCUGUGAUGGCGAGCGAAUUAUAGUAGCGAAGUUCCUGAUUCCACACUGCCAAGAAAAGCCUCUAGCGAGGUGAGAGGUGCCCGUACCGCAAACCGACACAGGUAGGCGAGGAGAGAAUCCUAAGGUGAUCGAGAGAACUCUCGUUAAGGAACUCGGCAAAAUGACCCCGUAACUUCGGGAGAAGGGGUGCUCUGUUAGGGUGCAAGCCCGAGAGAGCCGCAGUGAAUAGGCCCAGGCGACUGUUUAGCAAAAACACAGGUCUCUGCGAAGCCGUAAGGCGAAGUAUAGGGGCUGACGCCUGCCCGGUGCUGGAAGGUUAAGAGGAGCGCUUAGCGUAAGCGAAGGUGCGAAUUGAAGCCCCAGUAAACGGCGGCCGUAACUAUAACGGUCCUAAGGUAGCGAAAUUCCUUGUCGGGUAAGUUCCGACCCGCACGAAAGGCGCAACGAUCUGGGCACUGUCUCAACGAGAGACUCGGUGAAAUUAUAGUACCUGUGAAGAUGCAGGUUACCCGCGACAGGACGGAAAGACCCCGUGGAGCUUUACUGCAGCCUGAUAUUGAAUGUUGGUACAGCUUGUACAGGAUAGGUAGGAGCCUUGGAAACCGGAGCGCCAGCUUCGGUGGAGGCAUCGGUGGGAUACUACCCUGGCUGUAUUGACCUUCUAACCCGCCGCCCUUAUCGGGCGGGGAGACAGUGUCAGGUGGGCAGUUUGACUGGGGCGGUCGCCUCCUAAAAGGUAACGGAGGCGCCCAAAGGUUCCCUCAGAAUGGUUGGAAAUCAUUCGCAGAGUGUAAAGGCACAAGGGAGCUUGACUGCGAGACCUACAAGUCGAGCAGGGACGAAAGUCGGGCUUAGUGAUCCGGUGGUUCCGCAUGGAAGGGCCAUCGCUCAACGGAUAAAAGCUACCCCCGGGGAUAACAGGCUUAUCUCCCCCCAAGAGUCCACAUCGACGGGGAGGUUUGGCACCUCGAUGUCGGCUCAUCGCAUCCUGGGGCUGUAGUCGGUCCCAAGGGUUGGGCUGUUCGCCCAUUAAAGCGGUACGCGAGCUGGGUUCAGAACGUCGUGAGACAGUUCGGUCCCUAUCCGUCGCGGGCGCAGGAAAUUUGAGAGGAGCUGUCCUUAGUACGAGAGGACCGGGAUGGACGCACCGCUGGUGUACCAGUUGUUCUGCCAAGGGCAUCGCUGGGUAGCUAUGUGCGGACGGGAUAAGUGCUGAAAGCAUCUAAGCAUGAAGCCCCCCCCCCUCAAGAUGAGAUUUCCCAUUCCGCAAGGAAGUAAGAUCCCUGAAAGAUGAUCAGGUUGAUAGGUCUGAGGUGGAAGUGUGGCGACACAUGGAGCUGACAGAUACUAAUCGAUCGAGGACUUAACCAA